Molecule: ribosomal RNA, 245 nt
Filed under: uncultured Alphaproteobacteria bacterium
Lineage: Bacteria; Pseudomonadati; Pseudomonadota; Alphaproteobacteria
Description: partial 16S ribosomal RNA
Rfam family: Bacterial small subunit ribosomal RNA (bases 71-245)
Source: RNAcentral
AUGUCAGGUACGGGAAUAUUGACCCGUUAUCCAUCGACUACGCACUUCUGCCUCGCCUUAGGACCUGACUCACCCUCCGCGUCGACCUGGCUCAGAACGAACGCUGGCGGCAUGCCUAACACAUGCAAGUCGAACGAUUGCCUUCGGGUGAUAGUGGCGCACGGGUGCGUAACGCGUGGGAAUCUGCCCUUUGGUACGGGAUAACAGCGGGAAACUGCUGCUAAUACCGUAUGAUGACGUAAGUC